Amphimedon queenslandica is the source of this 466-nucleotide long non-coding RNA. RefSeq lists it as uncharacterized. The transcript is spliced from 3 exons. The record is from RefSeq and is a predicted model, not a curated record. Lineage: Eukaryota; Metazoa; Porifera; Demospongiae; Haplosclerida; Niphatidae.
AAACUCUGUUCUAAACUGUUCAGUUCUCAUUCCUCUUACUGAUGGCUACUACUACUGGUAUAUACUGGUGUCUUGUAUUGACUGGAUGUACUUUGAGUCUUGUUGUAUCUGUAAAAGGACAAAGUAUAUCAUUCAAUCAGAGCAGUCCUAGUGGGCCUGUGUGUCCUGGAGAUAGACUGGUGUUCACUUGUGUGGUGGAAAGUACAGGAGGAGGAGUAGCAUGGAGAAGGAAUAAUAAAAAAAAGCUUCAACUCUAACUUAUGGUGGAAUAAUUCUUACACUUGAUGAUUUCACAUUAAAUAUUACCAGUUUUGGUAAUACAACUAAUGUGGAUGUACUAGUUAGUACUGCUACUAAUCCUCCAGUUCCAGUAGAAUUGAAUGAAACUACUAUUGGUUGUUCAGCUGAUGUAGUAACCUUUGCUACAUUAACUAUUAACAUAGCAGGUCCACCAACAACACCAGUU